CUGCGGUGAAUACGUUCCCGGGUCUUGUACACACCGCCCGUCAAACCAUGAAAGUGACCAACACCCGAAGUCCGAUUCGUCGGCCUAAGGUGGGGGGCAUGAUUGGGGUU
RNAcentral lists this ribosomal RNA (110 nucleotides) under uncultured bacterium. RNAcentral describes it as "partial 16S ribosomal RNA". It matches the Rfam family "Bacterial small subunit ribosomal RNA", at positions 1357 to 1482 of the family's 1533-position model. The record is from RNAcentral.